Molecule: ribosomal RNA, 243 nt
Filed under: Heteroptera environmental sample
Lineage: Eukaryota; Metazoa; Arthropoda; Insecta; Hemiptera
Description: partial 18S ribosomal RNA
Rfam family: Eukaryotic small subunit ribosomal RNA
Source: RNAcentral
AGCGUGUUGACAGUUUCUGUCUUGGAUAACUGUGGUAAUUCUAGAGCUAAUACAUGCAACAAAGUUUUAACCANUGAUGGGACAAACGCUUUUAUUAAAUCAAAAUCAAUCCGGCUGGUUUUACCGGUCCGUUGACUUUGGUGACUCUGAAUAACCACGUAGAUCGCAUGGUCCUUGUACCGGCCGACUUAUCUUUCAAAUGCCUGACUUAUCAACUGUCGAUGGUACACUCUGUGUCUACCA